UUAAUUGAAGAGUUUGAUCAUGGCUCAGAUUGAACGCUGGCGGCAGGCCUAACACAUGCAAGUCGAGCGGUAACAGAAAAGAAGCUUGCUUCUUUUGCUGACGAGCGGCGGACGGGUGAGUAAUGCCUGGGAAUAUACCUCAGUGUGGGGGAUAACUAUUGGAAACGAUAGCUAAUACCGCAUAAUCUCCGAUCUUUUACGAGAUGGGAGCAAAGCGGGGGACCUUCGGGCCUCGCGCGCUGAGAUUAGCCCAGGUGGGAUUAGCUAGUUGGUGGGGUAAUGGCUCACCAAGGCGACGAUCCCUAGCUGGUCUGAGAGGAUGAUCAGCCACACUGGAACUGAGACACGGUCCAGACUCCUAC
Molecule: ribosomal RNA, 362 nt
Filed under: Photobacterium aquimaris
Lineage: Bacteria; Pseudomonadati; Pseudomonadota; Gammaproteobacteria; Vibrionales; Vibrionaceae
Description: bacterial SSU rRNA
Rfam family: Bacterial small subunit ribosomal RNA
Source: RNAcentral